UUUCUUUUGCUGUCAUCGAGUGGAAAUAUGAAAGUAUUAUUUGAUACACGCAUCAUCCUCAUUCAGUCAUGGAACAUUCAUCAAUUUUUAGCUAUAUUAAUUCCUUAUUUCUUAACUAGAAAAAUAAUACUGAAUCGGAUAAUCGGUUUGGCUCCCAGGUCCAGAUGAGUCUGGAAUCUGGACCCUUCAUUCUUAUUGAGAUUGUUAACCGUAGCUGCAUUCCAGUGCAUAUUCGUCCUUUUUACAAAAAAAUUGAACAGUGGUAGGCCUCAUGUACCAGACAUUAAUAUGGGCUGCUCCAUUUCUUCUGUGUCAGUACAGACAGCAGCUUGAUGCUCAUUCACCGCGUAGUACUCAUACCUGGACCGACGUGGUGGUUUGCCGUGAAUGCCAGCAGGUUCCCUAGUAAUUAAAAGACCCAACCAGCCUCCCAGCUAACACCUUCUUCCUCCCCUGAAUCUGGCUAUACCGAGUCCAUGGUGUCUUCUUCCUUCAGCGUUCUAAUCAUAUACACCUUGUUAGGACAAGCUGUGUGGUCUUUAGGGUGCCUCCCCACUCUGCAAGAGCAAGUUGGACUCAUCAACUGACAUGACACUACUGCACUUGACUUACAUUAUGCCACAAUUGGUACCCACUUAAUUUUUUGGCGCAUGGUUCACAAAAUCCCUGAAGUUAAAAACUGCAGUUUUGUUCUGUACUUCAGUAUGUGAGAACUCAUCUAAACUCAAGUGGUUUCAGAUUGCGGCCUAAUUUGUCUUCCCCUUGUAUGGAAUGGUACGUUUCAGAAAUCUGUACAAAUAGGUACCGCCGGCUCGCUGUCUCCCGUCGAUGAAUCAUUGCCAAUCUAUGUUCCUCCACACCUUUCUGUAUCCCGUCAAGGUCCUCAAGUUCUUCAUGGUCCACCCAACCUUCACCUUCUGCAACUUCCUCGCAGAUCCUGCCUGCCCACAAGGGCCAAGGCAAGUGUCGGGGAAGGUGCAUGGCAACCCUGUAGGCUGUCGGCAUCAUCACGAACCGGAGAACCGUCCAAUCUCUCUACGUCACAUCGCCAAAUAUUGACAGGCUGCUAACACAUGAUGAGUCAAAAAGAUUACAUCCUAAACAUAAUCCAGGCACCAUACACAUCAAGGCACAUACCUGUUGGCUAGACCUAGGGGAAACUCCAUGGUAGCUGCACACCCGCAUCAAGCUGGCAAUCAUGCUCAUGGGUUCAGGCGCCCAUGGGUGCAUCCGACCCGAAUGGGUAGUGUAUGGGUCGUCGACUUCACCCAGUAGUAACCCGAUUAGUCGUGGGUAGGUAUGUGCAUAACUUCAUACCUAUGGGUAACCUGAUUAACUAUUCUUACUGAUUAUAAAUAUUUCAUUUUAUAUAAGACGUAUUUUUAGAAAAAAUAUACACUGUAUACUCUAUAAUGGGUAGUAAAUCUGUACAAUUAUUUAAACGCAAGCCAACAAUGUACAUCAAGUACGAUGCAAAAAAGAAGUACAGCAAGUAGGCCAAAAGUUCAAGACUAACACAACGUGUAUGCAUCUCUAGUCCUUUGCUCUUCUCUUCAUCCACACAAAUCAAGUUUCAUGGGCCAAAAAUUGCUCAGUCAUCGGUCCAUAGGAGAUGUGCCAGUUGCAUGGCACCAAGACCCUGGUGCAUCCAAUUCAUGUAAAGCAAGUAACAACCUCGAGUAGCUAACGAGAUAGGGAUGGGCAAGCCCUGUAGGCGGUGUUGCAAGGAACAAUUUUAACAUACAAAAAAUAUCCUUAUUCUAUGGAAUGUUGGUCAGAGAUAAAUGUGAAGUAUGAUAAUUAUUCUUCAAUGCUCACCUGAUGGUGCCCAAUUGGGUCAAAUUACCUGAUGGGUUUGGGCAUGGGUCUAAACUUAGACCCAUGGGUAGGGUUGUGGGUUUGGGAUGAACCCGAUAGUGGGUUCGGGCAUGUGUCUGGUUGAGGUCGACCUGACCAAACCCGAACCAAUUGCCAGGUCACCUAGUACCAAAAAAUGGCCCCAGCCCAAGGUUGAAGAUGACUGGCUCUGUUUA
Triticum aestivum (bread wheat) is the source of this 2033-nucleotide long non-coding RNA. RefSeq lists it as uncharacterized. The transcript has 2 exons. Lineage: Eukaryota; Viridiplantae; Streptophyta; Magnoliopsida; Poales; Poaceae. The record is from RefSeq and is a predicted model, not a curated record.